UGAAAAGGGAGAAUGCAGGGCAUCUCAAGAGAGAGACAGCUUUGAGGGGAAAGAAAGAGCUACAUAUUCAAGAGAAUGUGGGCCAUUUUGAGAGUGAGAAGCACCUGAAAUUAACUUUUAUUGAGCAUAGAAUAUAUGCUACCCUACUGAGUAGGUUCAGUUCAUAGUACAUGCUCUAUAACAAAUAAGUUAUAUUGUCCUUGUAUAGUUCAAUUUUUUAUUAGCAUAGGCUUUAGGUACAGUGGUUCUUAACCUGGAGCAGUCCCCCACUCCCCGACCCCUAGGGAGCAUUUGAUGUUUGGGGACAUUGUAAUCUUUAUUCCUUGUGGCGGCCAUUGCUACUGGCAUCUAAUGGGUAGAUACCAGGGGUGCUAUCAAAAACCCUACAAUACACAGGACAGCCUUCCACAACAAAAAAUUUUCCAGCCCAAAAUGUCAAGAUUGAAAAACCUUGCGAUAGAAUGACAAUAUAAUUUGUUUAACCCAUGUUUUAAAUGUUAAGAAGAUACCGUUAAUAAUUACUUUAGGAAUCAAGAUUUAAACUGGAACUUUCCCAGGUAACUUGGAAUGCUGAAGGAUUCUAAUUAUAAACAAAUUGUUAAGUUCUGUCAAUGACUAGAUGUGAACCUGGGCUAAAUCACUACUUCUGUGUUUCAGCCUCAUUUUCCUCAUUUCUAAAAUGAGGAUAAUUAUAGAAUAGAUAUUAGAGAUUUUUGGGGAAAGUUUUAACAAGAUAAUCUCAAACUUUUUAACACAAUGUUUAUUGAAGUGCUCAAUAAAUGGUUGUUAUUAUUUAUAGUCCUUUUCUUCCACUUCUGUACCCCUUUUUCACAGAUAACAGCUAUUAGACUCAGAACACUUAUCCUAUUGAUUAAAAUAUGAAUGAGAGAUGGC
This 894-nucleotide long non-coding RNA is filed under the name Marmota monax (woodchuck). The record is from RNAcentral. Lineage: Eukaryota; Metazoa; Chordata; Mammalia; Rodentia; Sciuridae.